Molecule: ribosomal RNA, 393 nt
Filed under: Pseudomonas sp. enrichment culture
Lineage: Bacteria; Pseudomonadati; Pseudomonadota; Gammaproteobacteria; Pseudomonadales; Pseudomonadaceae
Description: bacterial SSU rRNA
Rfam family: Bacterial small subunit ribosomal RNA
Source: RNAcentral
CUACGGGNGGCNGCAGUGGGGAAUAUUGGACAAUGGGCGAAAAGCCUGAUCCAGCCAUGCCGCGUGUGUGAAGNAGGUCUUCGGAUUGUAAAGCACUUUAAGUUGGGAGGAAGGGUUGUAGAUUAAUACUCUGCAAUUUUGACGUUACCGACAGAAUAAGCACCGGCUAACUCUGUGCCAGCAGCCGCGGUAAUACAGAGGGUGCAAGCGUUAAUCGGAAUUACUGGGCGUAAAGCGCGCGUAGGUGGUUUGUUAAGAUUGGAUGUGAAAUCCCCGGGCUCAACCUGGGAACUGCAUUCAAAACUGACUGACUAGAGUAUGGUAGAGGGUGGNGAAUUUCCCUGUGUAGCGGUGAAAUGCGUAGAUAUAGGAANCCNACACCCAGUGGCGAAG